Anguilla rostrata (American eel) is the source of this 1970-nucleotide long non-coding RNA. RefSeq lists it as uncharacterized. The transcript has 2 exons. NCBI's taxonomy places the organism in Eukaryota, Metazoa, Chordata, Actinopteri, Anguilliformes, Anguillidae. The record is from RefSeq and is a predicted model, not a curated record.
GUUUGAGAACCGUUGAAGUAGCGAGCUAUGAGUUAAAUUGUUAUCUUCCGUCUUUAUUUGGGAAGGCGAAAACAUAUUGCGCACUAUCUGCUAACUACUUCCUUCUGUUUCCCCUCAGUCUGCGUGGGUAAGCAGAACUACUGCAUCAAGCAGGGCUUUUUAGCCUCGGCUGUGUGGCCCCUUAAGCUUGCUUCUUCCGCUCCUGCCUGUCUCGUAAAGAAUUCUUCCUUGGGAACAAAUAGUAUACAUGCUCUACAUGUUGGGUCUUUAGAUCAAAGUUAUAUAGGACGUCACUGUCUAUCAAUACCUGACAAGGUGAGGCUGAAUCCCCAGAAUCCCCAGAAUCCCCCAGUGACUCACAGUAGAGUCCAGCCUUACUACCAACAGCUACAGUAAUUUUAUCAUUUCAGUGUCAUGGAUGGUUCAAGGACAAAAAGAAGACAGAAAAGACGUUUCUAACUUCUGUAUCAGCUCAAAAGUCUCUGUUGGAAUCACACAUCAGCCAUUUGUGUGACUUGACAGAAUUUCAGUUAUGUAUUGUUAGCCCUAGGGUUAUGUAUAUAUAUUCCUGAUAUAUUGACUUUCACCACUUAUCCAGUAGCAGUUAUGUGAUUGAUAGUGAAGUGACAAGCUGAUCAGAGUUCAUUAACCACAAAAUGUCUGCCAUUAUCUUAAGCACAGCGGACCCAUUGAUUUUAUGUCCCCAUUGUGUUUUUUCCAGAGGACACCAUUUCUGGGUGAAGCAUCACAACCAUUUGUCACAGCUGGUUAUAUACAGAAUGAACAUGCUCACAUAUUGCAUGAUGAUGUAGUCAGUUUGGUUCAGACUUUUUACAUUCUACAUGUCAAAAUAGUCUACAAACAGAUAAUAUAAUUUAUCAUGGAAUUAUUUUAGACAGUGUUUGUGUCAAAACUGUUAAAAUAUAGACCUGAUAUGUAUGUUGAUGUGUUUUCCCCAUUUAGUUUUCAGUUUCAGUAAAACAUUACCCUUAAUGCAUAUUCAAAACACUUGGUGAGAAUUGACCCGAUACGCUAUUCAUUUGACUGAUGUGGAAAAGUGAUGCCCCUGAUGAUUAUGUAACCAAAAGCCUUCCAGACCAUUUGCUUCUCAACACUGGUCUUUAAAAUAUGUUCAUUAUAAAUAAUUUCUCCUGGAAGAAUUGAAGGGCCCCAGUGUAGAAUCUUAACGAAAGACCGAAGAAAUACUAUUUUAGCAUAUCACAGUUUAUUUAUUAAAACCUUUCACAAAGUUUUGCAAAUUCAGUGUAAAUAAGCUAAAGCUUUGGUGAAAGUGGUGUGAUCAGAGAUUUGAAGCAUUAAGUAUGGAGUGAAAAUUAAUUAAAUUAAUUAAUUAUUUAUUUUCCUUAGUAGGCAUACUUGUUUAACAUUACCCUGUCAGAUCCUCAUGAUUUGACUUCAUAAAGGCGAAAUGUUACUGCAUAUGUGAUCAGAGAAUAUGAGCAUAAAUAUUAGAUGAAUAUAAAAGGUAACAUGUUUUAAAUAUAUGCAGUCAACUUUAAAGUGUUUCAUAAUAGCUUUAUUAUGUACUACUGAGGAUUAUAUUUAUAUGAUUAGCACACUUGCUGUCUGAGUGCUAGUUUUCUUGGGUUUCAUGGGAUAGACUAUGCUGGUCCCUUCUGACCUUGAGAACAGUGCUUUGAAUGAAUUUGUACUGAAUAUAAUAUAAUAUUAUUCACAGACAGGUACACACAGCUUUGUACUGAAUCACAAGUUUGCCAUGUAUCUGUUAACAUUUAGCUUCUUUACCACCAUCGAAACAUCUUGGAAUCUAUUUGCAUGCUAAAGUUAUCCUGCAGUCACAGGCAGAAACGUGUUUGUUUCUUGUAACAAGUUUGUUUAAAAAGACUCAAUUUCAAAGUUUCUAAUUCUGUUUGUCUAACAUCAAUAUGAAAUGCAAAAUCAGUGGCAGACUCAGAGGAUGUUUAAUAAAAGCCUGCAAUUAAAAUGUC